UGGGGAAUAUUGGACAAUGGGGGGAACCCUGAUCCAGCCAUGCCGCGUGUGUGAAGAAGGCCUUAUGGUUGUAAAGCACUUUAAGCGAGGAGGAGGGUACUGGUAUUAAUACUACCAGGUACUGGACGUUACUCGCAGAAUAAGCACCGGCUAACUCUGUGCCAGCAGCCGCGGUAAUACAGAGGGUGCGAGCGUUAAUCGGAUUUACUGGGCGUAAAGCGUGCGUAGGCGGCUAGUUGAGUCGGAUGUGAAAUCCCCGAGCUUAACUUGGGAAUUGCAUUCGAUACUGGUUAGCUAGAGUGUGGGAGAGGAUGGUAGAAUUCCAGGUGUAGCGGUGAAAUGCGUAGAUAUCUGGAGGAAUACCGAUGGCGAAGGCAGCCAUCUGGCCUAACACUGACGCUGAGGUACGAAAGCAUGGGGAGCAAACAGG
This 430-nucleotide ribosomal RNA is filed under the name Pseudomonadota bacterium. RNAcentral's name for it is "Proteobacteria bacterium partial 16S ribosomal RNA". It matches the Rfam family "Bacterial small subunit ribosomal RNA", at positions 355 to 776 of the family's 1533-position model. Lineage: Bacteria; Pseudomonadati; Pseudomonadota. The record is from RNAcentral.